AACGAACGCUGGCGGCAUGCCUAACACAUGCAAGUCGAACGAGACCUUCGGGUCUAGUGGCGCACGGCUGCGUAACGCGUGGGAACCUGCCCUUAGGUUCGGAAUAACUCCCCGAAAGGGGUGCUAAUACCGGAUAAUGUCUUCGGACCAAAGAUUUAUCGCCUUUGGAUGGGCCCGGGUUGGAUUAGCUAGUUGGUAGGGUAAAAGCCUACCAAGGCGACGAUCCAUAGCUGGUCUGAGAGGAUGAUCAGCCAGACUGGGGCUGCGACACGGCCCAGACUCCUACGGGAGGCAGCAGUGUGGAAUAUUGGACACUGGGCGAAAGCCUGAUCCAGCAAUGCCGCGUGAGAGAUGAAUGCCUUAGGGUUGUAAAGCUCUUUUACCCGGGAUGUUAAUGACAGUACCGGGAGAAUAAGCUCCGGCUAACUCCGUG
Molecule: ribosomal RNA, 433 nt
Filed under: uncultured bacterium
Lineage: Bacteria
Description: partial 16S ribosomal RNA
Rfam family: Bacterial small subunit ribosomal RNA
Source: RNAcentral